RNAcentral lists this transfer RNA (82 nucleotides) under Frankia umida. Its description in RNAcentral is "tRNA-Leu". It matches the Rfam family "tRNA". From Rfam's summary of the family: Transfer RNA (tRNA) molecules are approximately 80 nucleotides in length. Their secondary structure includes four short double-helical elements and three loops (D, anti-codon, and T loops). Lineage: Bacteria; Bacillati; Actinomycetota; Actinomycetes; Frankiales; Frankiaceae. The record is from RNAcentral. RNAcentral also lists the same sequence under 1 other name.
GCGGGAGUGGCGGAAUGGCAGACGCAGCAGGUUUAGGUCCUGCCGCCCACUGGGCGUGGGGGUUCAAGUCCCCCCUCCCGCA